Molecule: ribosomal RNA, 412 nt
Filed under: uncultured archaeon
Lineage: Archaea
Description: bacterial SSU rRNA
Rfam family: Archaeal small subunit ribosomal RNA
Source: RNAcentral
ACGGGGUGCAGCAGGCGCGAAACCUCUGCAAUAGGCGAAAGCCUGACAGGGCUUACUCUGAUGAUUUCCGUUAAGGAGAUCUUUUGGCACCUCUAAAAAUGGUGCAGAAUAAGGGGUGGGCAAGUCUGGUGUCAGCCGCCGCGGUAAUACCAGCACCCCGAGUGGUCGGGACGUUUAUUGGGCCUAAAGCAUCCGUAGCCGGUUCUACAAGUCUUCCGUUAAAUCCACCUGCUUAACAGAUGGGCUGCGGAAGAUACUAUAGAGCUAGGAGGCGGGAGAGGCAAGCGGUACUCGAUGGGUAGGGGUAAAAUCCGUUGAUCCAUUGAAGACCACCAGUGGCGAAGGCGGCUUGCCAGAACGCGCUCGACGGUGAGGGAUGAAAGCUGGGGGAGCAAACCGGAUUAGAUACCCG